GAUUUCAGACCUCGUUCUUAGUC
This 23-nucleotide small nuclear RNA is filed under the name Arabidopsis thaliana (thale cress). Its description in RNAcentral is "snRNA_15540". The record is from RNAcentral. Lineage: Eukaryota; Viridiplantae; Streptophyta; Magnoliopsida; Brassicales; Brassicaceae.